AAACUGCUAUUUUAAAAAAAAAUCUGCCAUGUUAUGUAUUUUAAUCCAGUUCAUGGAACAUACUUUAGAAAGUAGGAAUUUUUAAUAAGUUGUCAUGGGUUAGUGGUUAGUGGUGCCAACAUAAACAUUCUUAAAUGACUUGGGAAUGUAUACUGAGAAAAUAAUAUCUAUUAAUUAUUGCCAUUUCCAUAGAAUGAUUCUCAUUUUCCCUGAUACUGGAUUUCAACAAGAGGAAUAGUAAUAAGAGGCUAAGAUAUAUUUCUUUAAAAUAAUAGAUGCUUGCAUCAAGAAAGAUACUGAUGCAAAUAAAAUGAGAGGAGUAAAGAAUGAUAACCUGGGCUCCAGUGACUUUGGGCAAGGAUGGUAAUGAGGGUUUGAGGGAGGAAGCACCAUGAGCAAAUAGAGUAUGCCCAGUAGUGUCUGAGACUGCAGAUGUUCCCUUAGUGCCCACUGACCAGUUAAGGUUGACAGUCUUGAUAGGAUAACAAGCAAGCUAAUGGAAAUCUGAAAAGAAAAAAUAUGUCUUCUGAUGGUUUUAGAUCAGCUGCUGCUUGUCAUGUUGAUGGAG
This 568-nucleotide long non-coding RNA is filed under the name Homo sapiens (human). Its description in RNAcentral is "HSALNT0247345". The record is from RNAcentral. Lineage: Eukaryota; Metazoa; Chordata; Mammalia; Primates; Hominidae.